Molecule: ribosomal RNA, 468 nt
Filed under: uncultured bacterium
Lineage: Bacteria
Description: partial 16S ribosomal RNA
Rfam family: Bacterial small subunit ribosomal RNA
Source: RNAcentral
GACGAACGCUGGCGGAGUGUUUAACACAGGCAAGUCGAACGGAAAGGCCCUGCUUUUGUGGGGUGCUCGAGUGGCGAACGGGUGAGUAACACGUGAGUAACCUGCCCUUGACUUUGGGAUAACUUCAGGAAACUGGGGCUAAUACCGGAUAGGAGCUCCUGCUGCAUGGUGGGGGUUGGAAAGUUUCGGCGGUUGUGGAUGGACUCGCGGCUUAUCAGCUUGUUGGUGGGGUAGUGGCUUACCAAGGCUUUGACCGGUAGCCGGCCUGAGAGGGUGACCGGCCACAUUGGUACUGAGAUACGGCCCAGACUCCUACGGGAGGCAGCAGUGGGGAAUAUUGCACAAUGGGCGGAAGCCUGAUGCAGCAACGCCGCGUGCGGGAUGCCGGCCUUCGGGUUGUAAACCGCUUUCGCCUGUGACGAAGCGUGAGUGACGGUAAUGGGUAAAGAAGCACCGGCUCCCUACGUG